ACAAGCUGAGAAACGGCUAGUAGGACUAAGGUCUGCAGCAGGCGCGAAACUUACACAAUGCUAGAUUACAAUUAGCGAUGUAGUGAAGAAAAAUAACGAUGUACUUCCAUUUAAACAUGGUAGUACAAUUGGAAUGAGACGACUAUAAAUCAGUUAGUCGAGUAACAAAUGGAGGGCAAGUCUGGUGCCAGCAGCCGCGGUAAUUCCAGCUCCAUUAGCAUACAUUAAAGUUGUUGCGGUUAAAAAGCUCGUAGUUGAAUUUUAGGCGGGCUCUAUUGGGCUGCAGCCGUCAAGGUUACUUCGGUAACUGGCUGUCACUGCCCUAUAGGAACCCGCUGUUUCGUCACUUAAUCGAGUGCGAAGCGGGCUGGCACUUGGUCAACUUCGGUUGCACUAAGCUUCAGCAUGUUUACCUUGAGAAAAUUAGAGUGCUCACAGCAGGCAGUUGGGGUGUAAAAGCUCCUUUAUGCUUGAAUAAUGUUGCAUGGAAUAAUAGAAUACGGCCUCGGUUCUAUUCUGUUGGUCUUAUAGAACAACAAACAAGUUGAUUAAAGCGAUCAAACGUCUAUUCUAAGCGUGGCUCUAAGGGCCGCUAUGUUUGAAUUGGCCGAAUUGUGUUACCUAGGGAUAAAACUUUAGUGUCGCGUUCACCUUUUGAAACUAGCAUCACCCAUUUAGUCAUCAAAGCGCUUUUAAUAUGGCAAGCUUUUUAAUCAACUGAGGCAAUGGUUAAAAGAAAUAGUCGCGGCGGCAUCAGUACUGCAUCGUGAGAG
This 773-nucleotide ribosomal RNA is filed under the name Rhyncaphytoptus sp. 18sr88. RNAcentral describes it as "partial 18S ribosomal RNA". It matches the Rfam family "Eukaryotic small subunit ribosomal RNA", at positions 389 to 910 of the family's 1831-position model. Lineage: Eukaryota; Metazoa; Arthropoda; Arachnida; Trombidiformes; Diptilomiopidae. The record is from RNAcentral.